Molecule: non-coding RNA, 940 nt
Organism: Salmo salar (Atlantic salmon)
Lineage: Eukaryota; Metazoa; Chordata; Actinopteri; Salmoniformes; Salmonidae
Source: RefSeq, a predicted model, not a curated record
UAUUAUAUUUUGUUGUGAAUAAGUUUAAUAAUGGUAGACUUAUGUCAACAGGACAGGGAUAUAUGACAUCUGUAGGUGAUCUAGGAUCAUUGAGGGUAUUGUGAUAAUUUUAAGUAGGUAUGCAAUAUCUAGACAGGUUGAUUUUUCUAAAACUCAAGAGUGCAACCAAGGAGACAAUGAGACAUUUAGUCAAUAUUUGGAAACAACCCAUAUUAUGAGAAAAAGCUGGAGACAGAUAAAUAGAAGGGCAGACUGAGAAAUCCUCCCCUACACUGCUGAAACCUUCAGGGUUGGGGAGUAGCAGGAAGAAAGGAGGGGGGCCAGCAGGAGUAGAUAGGAAGAGAAUUUGGUUCACUAAGCUCUAGGAUAUUAAUUCAUGGAGAGACUAUCGGCUCCGUUGGCAGGCAUAUAUUUUAGUUUUGAUUUUAAGUUUAUGUUUGGUAAAUUCGAUAGGAGGAGAUUAGUAUCAUUUUGUUGAAAGUAAUUGUUACCCUAACUAAAAGGGCUUAGUUGGUUUCAGGUGUUAGACACUGAACCAUUGCCCAGACACUAUUCUGCACAGUAGGCCGAAAUAGUAGCAUUGACUAGAACCGGUGAAAUAAGAAAGGAGAGAAAAGUUACUAUUUACACAGACAAGCACAUAGACAUUUAAAACCAUACAAAACAGCACAGAUAAAUCUUAAAGAAGAUAAAACACUUGACAGAGAAUUGUUACAGAAUAGCCGAGGAUGAAGGCCCCAGGGAGAAUUGGACAUGUGGAAAAUGAAAGGGGGCAUCCUAUAAGAGAAGGUCUGACAUAAGGAUAAUUUACUUAUCCUAUCAAAGACAUUGUAUGGAUACGCAGCAAUAUUGAUACAUAGGCUAAGCAAUGUAUCAAGGGGAGGGAAGUAUAGUAGAGUAGUUAGGAAAGAGUGAUGGCCUAGAGGAUAAUUACUUAAAA